GCGAAAACUUUACAAUGCUGGAAACAGCGAUAAGGGGACCUCGAGUGCCAGGUUACAAAUCUGGCUGUCGUGAUGCCUAAAAAGCAUUGCAUAGCAAGGGCCGGGCAAGACCGGUGCCAGCCGCCGCGGUAACACCGGCGGCUCAAGUGGUGGCCGCUAUUAUUGGGCUUAAAGGGUCCGUAGCCGGACCAGUUAGUCCCUUGGGAAAUCUUACGGCUUAACCGUAAGGCUGCCAAUGGAUACUGCUGGUCUUGGGACCGGGAGAGGCAAGAGGUACCUCAGGGGUAGGAGUGAAAUCCUGUAAUCCUUGAGGGACCGCCAGUGGCGAAGGCGUCUUGCUAGAACGGGUCCGACGGUGAGGGACGAAAGCUGGGGGCACGAACCGGAUUAGAUACCCGGGUAGUCCCAGCCGUAAACGAUGCUCGCUAGGUGUCAGGUGCGGUGCGACCGCAUUUGGUGCCGUCGUGAAAACUUGAAGCGAGUCACCUGGGAAGUACGGUCGCAAGGCUGAAACU
RNAcentral lists this ribosomal RNA (515 nucleotides) under uncultured archaeon. Its description in RNAcentral is "bacterial SSU rRNA". It matches the Rfam family "Archaeal small subunit ribosomal RNA", at positions 341 to 856 of the family's 1478-position model. The record is from RNAcentral.